GACGUAGGUUGCAAGCGUUAUCCGGAAUUAUUGGGCGUAAAGAGUUCGUAGGUGGUAUGUUAAGUUGGAUGUUAAAACUUUGAGCUUAACUCAAAGUGUGUGUCCAAAACUGGCAAACUGGAGACAGGUAGAGGUAAGUAGAAUUCUGUAUGUAGGGGUAAUAUCCGUAGAUAUACAGAGGAAUACCAAAAGCGAAGGCAGCUUACUGGACCUGUUCUGACACUCAAGAACGAAAGCGUGGGGAGCAAACGGGAUUAGAUA
This 261-nucleotide ribosomal RNA is filed under the name uncultured bacterium. RNAcentral's name for it is "partial 16S ribosomal RNA". It matches the Rfam family "Bacterial small subunit ribosomal RNA", at positions 524 to 784 of the family's 1533-position model. The record is from RNAcentral.